RNAcentral lists this ribosomal RNA (399 nucleotides) under uncultured bacterium. Its description in RNAcentral is "partial 16S ribosomal RNA". It matches the Rfam family "Bacterial small subunit ribosomal RNA", at positions 509 to 907 of the family's 1533-position model. The record is from RNAcentral.
CAGCAGCCGCGGUAAUACGGAGGGGGCUAGUGUUACUCAUAUUGAUUUGGCGUAAAGGGUAUGUAGGCGGUUUUUUUAGUUAGAGCUUAAAUCCUAUGAUAAAAAUUAUAGAAGUGUUCUAAAACAAAUUAACUUAGAGUUUAAAAGAGGAUAACAGUACUUCUAGUCUAGGGGUAAAAUCUGCAGCGGAUUAGAGGGACUAUCGCGGGCGAAGGCGGUUAUCUGGUUUAAUACUGACGCUGAGAUACGAAGGUGUGGGUAGUCAAUGGGAUUAGAUACCCCAGUAGUCCACACAGUAAACGAUGAACGUUCGUAAUUAGAAAAAAAUUUUUUAGUUACUUAGCUAACGCGUUAAACAUUCCGCCUGGGGAUUACGAUCGCAAGAUUAAAACUCAAAGG